AUGCACGCUGGCGGCGUGCCUAAUACCUGCCAGUCGAGCGAACAGACGAGGAGCUUGCUCCUCUGACGUUAGCGGCGGACGGGUGAGUAACACGUGGAUAACCUACCUAUAAGACUGGGAUAACUUCGGGAAACCGGAGCUAAUACCGGAUAAUAUAUUGAACCGCAUGGUUCAAUAGUGAAAGACGGUUUUGCUGUCACUUAUAGAUGGAUCCGCGCCGCAUUAGCUAGUUGGUAAGGUAACGGCUUACCAAGGCAACGAUGCGUAGCCGACCUGAGAGGGUGAUCGGCCACACUGGAACUGAGACACGGUCCAGACUCCUACGGGAGGCAGCAGUAGGGAAUCUUCCGCAAUGGGCGAAAGCCUGACGGAGCAACGCCGCGUGAGUGAUGAAGGUCUUCGGAUCGUAAAACUCUGUUAUUAGGGAAGAACAAAUGUGUAAGUAACUAUGCACGUCUUGACCGUACCUAAUCAGAAAGCCACGGCUAACUACGUG
RNAcentral lists this ribosomal RNA (496 nucleotides) under uncultured bacterium. RNAcentral's name for it is "partial 16S ribosomal RNA". It matches the Rfam family "Bacterial small subunit ribosomal RNA", at positions 29 to 507 of the family's 1533-position model. The record is from RNAcentral.